AGAACGAACGCUGGCGGCAUGCCUAAUACAUGCAAGUCGAACGAACACUUCGGUGUUAGUGGCGCACGGGUGCGUAACGCGUGGGAAUCUGCCCUUGGGUUCGGAAUAACAGUUGGAAACGACUGCUAAUACCGGAUGAUGACGAAAGUCCAAAGAUUUAUCGCCCAGGGAUGAGCCCGCGUAGGAUUAGCUAGUUGGUGAGG
RNAcentral lists this ribosomal RNA (203 nucleotides) under uncultured soil bacterium. Its description in RNAcentral is "partial 16S ribosomal RNA". It matches the Rfam family "Bacterial small subunit ribosomal RNA", at positions 26 to 257 of the family's 1533-position model. The record is from RNAcentral.